ACUGGCCUUCUUCCAAGCCUGGUGGAUAAGUGUGGAUUGUGGAAGCAUUGUUCCACGAGGCUUCAGGUUCGAAGGCUGGUAUCCGUUGGGAUGGCGACUUUGAUGAAUCAUGUAUCCAUGUAUGUAUGUGCAUGUGUGUGUGUGUGUUUAUAUAUAUAUUUCAACAAUAUGAGGUAUUUCAAAAUACCUCUGUUUUUUUUUUUCAUACAUAUUUGUUUUUCCCGUCUGUUUUAUGGACAUAAUUCCAUCUCUAUAAAACCUAGCUUCUUAAGUCCAAAAACGUGACCUCUAGUUAUACAGCUUUGACUUAUCACUUAUGUAAACUUGCCUUGUCGCAUUUUUUCUCCAUAUAUUUUUUGUCCAUUACCAUCGUGUCAUGUUACUUCUUAAUCCAAUUAUACAUUGUCAUCUUGAGAAAAAUUUGUACAAAAACAAUACUUUAUUGAACAAGAAACGCGAUAUGACAGUAAACUCGUUAAAGAUUGGAAAAUAUCUUUUGAAGAGAACAUUGUUAGGCCCCAAAUCCAAAUAGUCGAUAGACAUUCAUAGAAAAUGUUUUUGCAUAUUAACCACUGGCCUUCCUCCUAGCCUUAUGGAAAGUGCACAAGCAUGAUCCCUGUAGGGUCUGGGUUCGAGGGCAGGUAUCCUGCGAAUUUGAUGUUCUUCAUGGCCCCUCAGAGGAAACAUAUUAUAUCAACAAUAUGAGGUAUUGCAAAAUACCUCUGUUUUUUUAUGUACCUACUAUUUUCUCUCCUCUAUGUAUUUAAUUAACUCUAUAAAUGUUUAUGUAUUUGUUCAUUAUUAGUGAUUUUUUAUUCUUUCUCGAAGUCUAAAUAUUUUUAAGUUAAAAUGUUCAUAAAGAUAAUCUAAAUUUUAUGAGUUAACCCAAAGAGUGGAGAUAAUCUUAUUAAACCAUUUUAUACUUAUUUUUUUUUCAGUGGUAUAACUUAUUAUUGUACUUAGCAUCAAAACAACAACUUCACAUUCUUGUUCAAUAAUUAUUUCGUUUAGAGAUAGAGAAGAUAUAUUGAAUACAAAGAUAUAUACAUGGUAGACGAAGGAAGCUUGGAGGGGUGUUGAGGAAAUGUAAUGCAAUUAUAUACAAAUUAAAAACUGCAAACCAAAGUCUGGAAACAAUUCUAAAUUGUUUUCACUUUCAACUUUUUGUUUCAUAUAUUAUCUUUCAGUUUUCCCUUCCUUCCCCUCACCAUUCUUGCUUCACCCUUCUUCAUAAAUCGAUAGAUUGAUCCAAAUAGAGGACACAAGGACCCGUGUAUGUUUUAUUGAGACAUAAAAUUAGAGUGGAAAAUAUUGAGCACAAAAACAUUAUCUCAUUUCAAAUUAUUUAAAAAGCAGAACAAAAGCAUAUGAGAUUUUUGUUUUUGUUUUUUUUAUUUUUAUUUUUUUUAUCACAUAUAGAUAUGCAUUGGGAAACUUAUUCACCAAAUGUAGCUACAAAUGUCAAAUUAAAAAGGGUUGUUUUAUUAACACCUCACAUUUUGUUGACCACACCCCAUGUACUAAAACAUCCCACAUUUACUUUUUAAAUUAAAAAUUAUCUUAAUCCACCCCACCUAAUUUCCUACACUACCCUUACACCCCACAAGGAAAUAAUAAAGGUUGUUGCUGCCUUGUUGGGAGAUUUAUCCAGUGUUAGAAAGAAUUGCUUCUGUUUGUCGAAUUCGAGGAAAUAAAAGGCGCCUGGCUUCUAGUGUACUGCUAUCUGUAUAAUUUAGCUGUUUUUGUUUGGUUCUUGCUAUAGUCUCUGACUUGACCUCUUACAUUUUUAUCCUAUUUUGCUCUAGGGUUUCAAACUUCAGCUAGCUUUUCUCUUCUUGAAGUCUCUCCUUUCAACCGAAAAAAUGAGAAAUGAAACUCUCAUUUUUAGACAUUCUUAACUGCCAAAUGGAAUCAGUUUCUGAUUCAUAAUUAAUGAUUAUGCAUGUAUCAGCAUCAAUAUAUUUCCUUUACGAAAAAUCUCAUGGGUUCCUUGUAGCAUUUGCGAUUGCGAUCGUGAUUACACCCCCAACUUAUGAAAAUUAUCUUUAAAAAGGUGAAAUCGGAAUUUGCAUAAAAUGUUUUCAAAUUUGAACUCUUUGACUGCAACUCGAAAACAAGAAAAAUCGAUCUCAACAUGUUCUUGAAUUAUUAUUAGGUUUUUCUAUUAAAAGAACUUACGGAGUGUACUAUAUAUUUAAGGCUUAAAUAGUCAUUUUAUAUCAAGAUAUAUGAGUUAUUUAUUAUUAAAUUUUAUGUGGAGUUUAGUCAACAAAAUGUGGAGUGUUAAUAAAAAAACCAAUUAAAAAUGAUAUACAAAUAGAGCAAAAAUUGGCUGGGCCCAAACUCAACUUGUGAGGACUAAGUUGAUUUUUGGGCUUCCAUUUGGACCGGCUUUCUUCUUAGCCUAGUGGUUAAUUGCGGUAAGCAUGAUUCCUCAAGAUUCUGGCUUCGAAGGCUGGUAUUUGCGAUGGUGAUGAUGAUGAAUCGAUGAAUGGAUGAGACGUUGGUAUUUAAAAUAAUUUAUGACCGCACGAUGUACAAUAAACAGAGAGGAUCUUCAUUCCUUUAACCAAAUGAGGUAUUCUAAAAUACCUUUGUUUUUCUAUAUUUUCCACAUGGAAAAUGAUACAAAGGAAUUGUGAAUUUCAUUUACAAAAGAGAAAUUUUAUCUGGACCCAGUUUUUUUCUUUUUAAACCCAACUUUAAUAUUUUGUUACCUAAACUCUCUAGUUUAUCCUCAUAAAUAAUAAACUGGAAAAACAAAAACUCAUCAAGCCUAUUUCUCGACUGUUCUCUCUCCUUCCGGUGGGCUCCUCCCUGUCUUUGUUGGGUCUGUCUCCCUCCUGACUAUUUUUUUUCUUUUUUUGAUAUGAAGGAAAAAAGAGAAGGUCUGGAGUGGUGGUUGAGUGGUGGAGCUGCAUGUGGGUGCUAUCUUGGUUGAAUGGGUGUAGAAAGAUAUUUAAUUUUCAUUUACUUAUUUCAUUGUUACUCAAAUGUUACUCAAAUAUUAAUUAACGUGCUUAUUUCUUAUUGCUAACGUAUCAUUUAGUUUAGAAAUUUAGUCUACCUAGCAUUACUUAUUUUUUAUAUAGUUUUCUUCCCUCUGUUUUAUUUUAUUUCGUUCCAUUUAUUAGGUUAACACCAAUUAUACUAUUUUGCAUUCUAUACUUUAUUUCUUAUGCAAUUGUAUAAUUUAUUUCGUCAAAAUAUAGUUCAAUUUAAGAUUUUGUUAACAUUUUAUUAACUAAGUAUAGCACAUAAAAAUGUGUGUUGUGUUAUUCGGCAACUUUGCUAAAAUAAUACUAUAAAAAAUUUAAAAUUUAAAAUUUUAAUAUUUAUUUUUUAAUAAACUUUAAAAAUAGGCCUUACAAUACGUCAAAUUUAAAUGUAUUAAUAAAAUGUGUAAAAAUAAUGUAUAUUAAAUGUACGAAGUAUGUAUAUACAUGUAUAGUAUGUUGAAGUUUAAAAAAACAUGAUGUAAUUUAACAAAUCAUUAAGAUGUAUACAAAAAAAACAUAAUUAGGUGCCUUUUUUUUUGGUGAAUUUUUUUUCUUUUGUUAAAUGUUUGAGUAAUGCUAGGGAGACAAAAUUUGUAAACUAAAUGACAUGGAGGUUGAUGGUUGAAUUAUCACUUAAACAUUGAUAAACAUAUUCAUUUCUUAUUGGUGAGACAUCAUUUAGUUUGUAAGUUUUGUUUACAAAUUUAAUCUUCCUAACAUUGCUCUAAAUGUUUAUUUACCCUAAUACGCAACUACGAUUAUGGACAAAAUACAUUCAACAUAAAAUAAUAUAUCUUCUUCUUCUUCCUAAGCAAAUAUUGGUUUGGUUAACAGCCUCAAUACACCUUAUGUUCAUAUAUUCGUCUCUCUCUCUCUCUCUCUCUCUCUCUCUCUCUCUCUCUCUCUCUCUCUCUUAUAGCCUAAUUUGGUAUUUAGGGUUAGGUUUGUAUGAAUUUGUAAUUUGAAAUUGUAAUUAAUUAGGGUUUGGUUUUAUGCUUCAUUCUUCAUCUUCUGGAUUUAGGGAAUUCCAUCCAAUUUCCAGUUUGUUGCAUUCAAUUUAUUAGUGUCAAUGGGUAACUCCCCGAGGGCACAAAAGCAGAGAAGAAAAGAAAUACAAGUAUAUGGAUUGGAGUGUUGUCUUGCAUAAUACCCAAUAGUAGGGGAGAUACUUGCUCCACCUUAAUCAAUCGUUCAAUACUUCUAAUACAAUUUCUAUGGGACUAGGGUGAUGAAAUUUGGUUGUGGUGUACUCUUAGUGCGCGGUUGACGUCUUUGUGUUGCGAUUUCUUGUUCAAAUUAAACACUCGGUUGUUUCUUCCAUCGUGACUAUCUUGGUGGUUGAUAGCAAGAUGUUUGUGGCGGCGGCAACGAUGCUCGGUCUUUGAAAGAUAGAAAUUAAAGUUUCUAUUAUUUUUGUUUGUUUUGGUUAAUGGGCUGGGUUUAUUGUGUACAUGGGUUUUUCCAAUUUUUUUGAGUUGCUUGUCAUCCUUUGUGUUGGCCCGGUGAUAUAUGUUGGACCAUCCAAUUACAACCCCUUUUUUUUUUUUUUUCUUAAUGCAAUGAAAUUUACUUUUUGGACAAAAAAAAAACAAUAGUAUGAGCUCUGUGGUAAUAGUAAUGGAUAGGGUGAUUGUAAUUACCAAAAUAGACGAGGAGAAGGUGUGGCAAUUGGUUGUGCUCGAUGAACUCCUUAUAUUCGUGUCAAUUUGUAGAUUAGGGUUUGGGUUUUGAGUUCAUAUAACAUGUCAUGUGCAAAAUUAUCACUCCUUCCUGCGUACUAGAAUAUCUCAGUUUGUUACAUGAUUGGAAUUCAUUUGACAAAUUUCCUCUAAUUAAAGUGAUGGAAAAGACCAAAUUUCUCUAAUGGUCCAUCAAUCCAUGGACUCUAGUCUCAUUCAUCCUUCGUAUUAGUCCAAUCGUUAGUUAAGUUAAUUCCUUUAUCCAUUUGUGCAUAUAUUAUCAUUUGGAGCCUAAAUUCGAAGAAUUUAUCCCUCAUUUGAAAUACUGAACUAAUGAUGUAAAUGAAAUGAAAAAAAAAAACAAUUGUAUUUUGUCUUCUUUAUCUUUUUUUAUCAACUUAGUCAAUUUAUGGAUAAAAUAUGAUAAAGACCAAUAUUAGUAAGACAGUAAAUCCAUUGUUGCGCUUUCAACCAAAUCGAAGAUUGUUGAAUCAUUGGUGAAGAUUAUUCACUUUUACAUUUUGGUCGUAAAAUUUAGCUAACUUUAUUAUUAUUAAUUAAUCAUUCCUCAUGAUCAGUAGAUGUGUAUAUAAAUUCAUUUUUAUAUUUCAAUUCAUUUUUAUAUAAAUUCGUUUUCGAUUCAACGGUAUGCCAAACAGAAUCAGUAACCCCAAAAAGUUCAUUUGUGGGACCUAAAAAAACCCUCGCUCAAUAUCUUUCAUGCCAGAAGGGGACAUUGGCCCAAAUCCAAAUGGUCGUAGGUAUAUAAUUCAGUUUGCAUGCACUUAUACCGGCCUUCUUACUAGCCUGGUGGAUAAUUGUAGGUUGUGGAAGCAUUAUUCCAUUAGGUUCCAGGUUCGAAGGCUGGUAUCCGUUGAGAUGCCGACUUUGAUGAACCAUGAUUGCAUGUGUGUGUGUAUGUGCGUGCGUACGUAUAUAUACGUAUAUAUUUCAACAACAUGAGGUAUUUCAAAAUACCUCUGUUUGUUUUUGUAACAUAUUUGUAUUUUUAAAGUAAAAAUGUGAUUUUUCGUUAAAGUGAAUAGUAUCGGAAGCUAUUCCUUAAACUUUCCCUUACUAAAUCGUAAAACCUUGUUACCUCUAGAAGAUGCACAAUCGUUUAACGAAGUCUACCAAGCCUUAGAAAUUAGGUUCAACAAGUUUGCGUUACAAUAUUACCCAUAAAUUGCGCAAGCUAGCAAUUAUUCAUACUAAAAAGAGAAAAAAAAAGAGAAAGAAAUAUGAUUGAUCAUGGGCAGGAGUAAUCAAACUUCUAAUCUAUCCAUUGUUUGUUUAGGGUAAUGAGAGAUAAUAAGGACACGAUUCCAUCUCUUUAAAGCGUAAUUUCUUUAGUCCGAGAACUUCAACCUUUAGUACUACAGCUUGGACCUAUUAGUUAUGUAAACUUGCCUUGUCGUUCUUUAUUUUUCUUAUAUUUUUUGUUCAUCGCUACGUGGCUUCUUGACCCAAUCAUACAUCGUCAUGUAGAAAAAAUUUGUACACGACAAUGUAUUAUUGAACAAAAACCGAGACGUGGCAGUGAAUCUGUUUCAAAUACGUUAUUCUCCUUAAUGGUUGGACAAUAUUUUUUAGAGAAAACAUUGGUUGGUGUCAAAUUCAAAUAAUAUCAAGCUUCAAAUAAAUUGUUUUUGCAAAUCAAACACCAGCCUUCCUCCUAACCUAAUGGAAAGUGCACAACCAUGAUCCUCGUAGGGUCUGGGUUCGAAGGUUGGUAUCCUGUGAAUUUGAUGUUCUUCAUCAUGCCCCUCGGAGGAAACAUAUAUAUCAACAAUAUGAGGUAUUACAAAAUACCUCUGUUUUUUUUAAUAUACAUAUUGUUUUUCACUCCUCUAUUUUAUUUACAAAAUACCUCUGUUUUUUUAAUAUACAUAUUGUUUUUCACUCCUCUAUUUUAUUUUUUACUUAAUACUAUAGUCUAGUGAUAUUCCUCUUCACUUAUAAGUGAAAAGUCUUAGGUUCGAUUCUCGCCAAAGACAAAUUUGACACAUUAUUGCUAGCCUAUUGGGAGAUUAAGCCCACCCCUUUCCCUUUGAGUAGAUAAUAUUGUUUGUUAAAAAAAAAAAAAAAACCAUAACGCGAACCAUACCCAAUUCCAUUGAGAUAAAGAAAUACAAAGCUUAGUUAUAUGCAAUCUAUAUGAAUUAGAAGAUACAUCGUUGUAUAGGUAUAAGUAAUGGAAUUCUUUGUUGAGGAAAUCCAUUUAUCUCUGUUUCCAGACCUAUGUCCGUACAAAAUUUGAGUCGUGUAACAAUUGUCGACCUACUCUCCCCAUAUACUAAAAACAAUUUGAAUGAUUCGGUCAAUUUUGGCCCACUCCUAAAUAAACCAUUUUAUACUUAUAUUUUUAUUCAAUGAUAUAACUUAUUAUUGUAUUUUGUGUCAACAACUCAACAUUCUUAUUUAAUAACCAUUUCGUUUUUAAUUUUACUAUUCCUAGAGAUAGAGAAGAAAUAUAUUGAAGACAAAGAUAUAUAAAUGGUAGAAGAAGGAAGCUUGGAGGGAUGUUGAGCAAACACAGUGGAAUGAUAUACAAAUUCAAAAGUACAAACAAAAAUCUGGAAACAAUUCUAAAUUGCUUUCACUUUCAAUUUUUUAUUUCAUAUAUUUUUUUUUCAGUUUUUCCAAAAAAAAUAUAUAAAUGGUAGAAGAAGGAAGUAGAGAGGCUUUCACUUUGAACUUUUUAUUUCAUACAUUUUCUCGCUUCGCCCUCCUUCUCGAAACGAUGGAUAGACCCAAGUAGAGGACACAAGGACCGAUGUAUGUUUUAGUGAGGCCUACAAAAUGAGAGUAAAAAACAUGAGAACAAAAAUAGUAUCUCAUUCCAAAUAAUUUAAAAAGUGUUGCUGUCAUAUUUAGAAUAGAAAUUUGAUUAUGUAAAUCCUAGUGAAUCUAAGAAUAUCUCUUAUAUUCCUAUUAGGAGUGGAUUACCUAUUAAGAAUUGUAAUCCUAAAAGGGUAAGGAUUUUACCUAUUCUACCACUAUAAAUAAAGGCAAAAUGGGAUGAUAUAACACACACCUCACAAUUAAAUCUCUCUCUUCUCUAUCUCACUAUUGUUGGCCUCCCUCUCUCUAUUCCCUCAAAAUAGCUCAGUUAAUUAGGCCUACAACACGUUAUCAGCACGCUCUUGCCAGAAGCUAAGGAAUUGACGAAUCGUAGGAGGAUGCUAUCUUCUACAAAAUUCAAAGGCUCUUUUUUUUUUUAUGCCAAUCAAGUACGCUUAAAAUAAAGGAAGAUAUUUGAAACGACCUUGAAACAUGAAAACAUUCCCCAUGAUGCAUGAACCCCCUAUGUUUAUAUUUUCCUUCCGAUAUAUAUAUUGUAUAUGUUUCAUAUAUUUGUCAAUAAAUAUAUAUAUAUAUAAAUGUUUCAUGCAUUACGCAAUUAUAUUGCUAUGUGGAAUUGUGAGUCAAAGCAUAUAAAUAAAUUAGAAGCAUGUUACGGUUUUUCAAACCUUAGAGAAUUCAAAAAAAAAAAAAAAAAAAAAAAAGGAACUAUGCGGUACCAUCGCAUCACCACUGGCCUGAAGCCCAGUUAUGUGACGCACAUCAUGACACGGUGUCGUCUUUGACAUCUUUGGACCACACGGCAUAAGCCUUUAGGCUUGCAGUGCUGGCUCGAACACCCUAGCCUUCAGCCUGAUAAGCUCAAUAAGGCCUAAAGUCCCUUAGCCCAACCAAGAAAGCAUGUAGCCUUCUUGGCCCGUUGUCCCAUGAUUUGGCUUGCCUAUAGCAACCCUUAGCCCACUGCGUUAUGCUAUGCGCCCCGGCCCGCUUCCCGCAGACUUGUCUGCUAGGCUAAGCUUGCUCUGACCACGACCCAACUUCGACUGGGCUUCCUAGACCAAACCCGCGGCCAGCUUUUUAGCUGGGCAUGCACUCGUGUCCAAUUCUUUGGCCCAAACGCUAGCAGCUGCUACUGCUGGGCUCACCCAAAACAUUCAGCCCAAGGCCUUCAACAAUCACUGAGGCCCAAUAAGCUUGCAGUCGAACAUGUAUGGCUCUUCUCCCACAUUAUUUUGCUUCCAUGAUCGACCUCGUUUGGUCCCGAUCUAUUAAAUUAAUUAAAAGUGACCUGCAAUCCAUUAAUCUGAUAAUGAAUCCAAAAUUAUUGAUCUAAAGAUCACUUUUGGACAUUAAUGAUUCAAUAAUUUAUUUUAAUAUUUUGAAUCGUUGACAUAUUUCCAUAAUCUCAAAGCUCUCACACUUGAGUUCCUGAAGCAACUCAAAUCCACUAUACUUAAAUUAGCAUAUUGUAUUUUGUGUUUCUUGCAAGAACCUUUCCUUUAUGAACUAAUCGUUUAUAAAAAUAAAUUGAACCUGUAGUUUCAUAUUUAGUGCCUUUGAAACUCGAAGUUUUCAUUUAAAACUUACCACAUGAAACCUGUAGCUUUCAUGCAUUAAUUAAACCAAUACAUGUCUAUAGAACCCAAAUGUUCUACGAUAUAUGUCUAUGGAUUACUAUAUGACUAACCACAUUUUUGUUGUACCCUCUGUUUUAGGGACAUGUCGAACUUGAACAAGCUCAAUUUCACCGUUGUGGAAGUAUCUAGAAGAAAUUACCUGAAGUGGGUUUAAGACGUGAAGCUCCAUCUUACUGCAAAGAGUAUUAAAGCUACCAUCGAGGCACCUACCGACGACAAACCCAUCGACGAAGCUCAUAAACAUCCAUGAUGCAAUGUAGACCGAGUAUCUCGCUACGGAGGACCCACGCACCCUCUGGCUUACUUUGGCCAACUGUUCGAUCACCAAAAAGACAUCUACUUGCCUGAAGAAAGACACGACUGGCAUCAUCUUGCUUCCAAGACUUUAAGUCCGUGAAUGAAUACAACUCUGAAGUUUGUAGUAUCCGAUCACUAUUGAAGUACUGUAAAGUGGAACUAACCGAAUCAUAUCUCUUGGAGAAGACUUAUUCGACCUUCCAUGCCAUUAAUAUUGUCCUGCAACAACAAUAUAGAGCACAGAAGUUCACCAAAUUUUCGGAUUUGAUCUCUAUUUUACUUCUCGCUGAAAAGUAGAACCAGCUUUUGACGAAGAAUCAUCAAGCUCGAUCGACUAGCUCGAACGCCUCACCUGAAGCACAUGCAACCAAUUCUAGCAACUCAUUGUGAGGUUAAGCCCACCCCCUCACUCUUAGUGUAGAUAAUAUCGUUUGUUCGAAGAAAAAAAAUCAUUUGACAACUAAUUGAAUCACAUUAUUAUGCGCGUGCGAAAGACCAUUUUUAUAAUUGGCACUACGCGUCUCUUAAGAUGUUUUGAACGUGUUUAAAAAUAGAGAAAAUAAUAUUUAAUAAAAAAACUGAUUGAAUCACAUUAUUGCUAGCAUAUUGUGAGGUACUAAUUAUAAAAAAAAAUUAAAAAAAAUUGUACAAAAAGAAAUAAUUAUUUAAAAAACAUUUUUUAUAUGACAAACAUAACCCUACAUUAUUUGGUGCAUUAUUUUGGAUUGCUUUUAAACAUUUUUUUUGUUUGGGGGGCAUUUCUAUUUACUUUUUUUUGGUGAAACUUGUGAUCCAAAAAAACACAGUUCAUUGCAGUGUUGGCUUUAUAUAUAGAGAAGAGAUAAACACGUAAUAAAUUCUCAAUGAACAUGCACCUGCCACUAAAUUCAUGAAAACUUUUUUAUUUGGUACCAGAUAUGGAGUCUCCUCUUACUCAUCAUUGUAUUUACCCUCGUUACUAGACCAACUCUAAUUGGCUUGGUAUUAUUUGUGUUUAAGAUGCUAAAUAGAUAUUGUAACAGUUAACAUGGCAAAGUCGCUCUUUCAAAAUAAAAUUAUAUCCUUAUAAUUAAACUAGCUACAAUUAGAUAUUGAACUUACCAUAAUACAGAUCAUUUCGCAUUAGUUUGAAUUGGUUUUGAGAACUCUUUCUCCAAGCAAAUGGAGAUAACCAUCACUUAAAAAAAGGUUAGUUGGUGUCUUGAAAUUUUGAAACAGAUAACAUGUUUAUUUCAUUUCCACAAGCACACAAACGUAUAACUCUCUUUUGAAACGUUCCCCCCUUAGCAAUCUUUUUUUUUUUUUUUUUUUUAAAACUAGUGCCUCCAGAUCUUUUGACCGGACUAAUCACUAAAGCCCCCCCCCCCCCCCGCCGCCUGAUCCCACAACAUUUGAGAAGCAAGAAACUCUAGCAAUUGCUAGGUGGGUACCUUGAGAGGUGUCGAACCCCUUACCUCUUGGUGGCAAACCAAGGGCCUGGCCAUUAGACUAAACACUCUUAGGUCCCCCAAAGCAAUCUUUUUUAACUGAGGUUUUGUCCAACAACUAAUUAGGCUCCUCUUACGGGGCUUGGGCCUCUAAGGUAAAGUUGCCUUAUUGCUUUCAUAUUUACACAUACACACUAUAUAUAUUUUUUCUGAAAAUGUGGACUCAGUUAAAAACAAAGAAACCACAAGUGGUUCAGUGUAAAUGUGGUAGAAUUCUUAAGUAUAGUUUGUUUACUGGUUUUGGGUUUAAGGCACAAAGUUUGCAAAAACAGAAUAAUUUCAUGGUGGAAAGCUUUAGGAGGAUGUGUGCUAUUUGAUUGUGGCUAAGGGUGGACUCACAUUACUUUAGUCAUUUCGCGUCACAGUGGGAAUUAGUCAUACCCUUCUAGAGGUGAGAAUUAAAGAAAGUUGAGGUCCCACCACAAAAAAAAUUAGCCCAGUUACUGAAAAUUAAAGGCGAAUUUUCAAGCAUAAUACAUGGACAACGCAAAUCGAGUGACGUUGAGAACGUGUGGCCAUUGAGACUCACACUUGAACAACCUACUUUGAUAUCAUAACGAAAGUUAAGGUUUCACCGCAUUGGAAAUAUGAAGAGGUGCCAAACUUACUCAUAAACUCAUGUAAAGUCUCUAUUCCUUCAAUGUGAGAUUCAUUCUUAACAAAGAUGCCUUAGGCUUGGGCAAAAAAAAAAAAAAAAAAAAAAAUUAAAAUUAAAACAAAGGGCUUCUUGUUAUAAACUUUGUAUUUAAGUGUGAUUGUGUAAAUCCUAAAUUAAAUUUUAUUCUAGUUAUUCUUCCCUAUUAGAAUUUGUAUUCCUUGGAGGAGAAUGAUUUUUCUCUCACUUAUUACUAUAAAUAAAGGCACUGCGUAGGAGGAAUAACACAUUCUCUACACAGCCCUACAAACACAUAUCUCUUCCUAUUUUCUCUAUGUGCCACCGCCCCCUCUCCUCUGUUAGAUUAAAAUAAGCCACAACACUUCUUUAAUUGUUUUAUUUAUAAGAAGUUUCAUCAAAACACCGUAAGAAACGAAAAAUACAUAUCUUAAUUUCAAGCCACUCCUCUCCAAGUACAAUUAGAAGUACUUGUCUUUUUAGUUUCUUGAGAACCACCUGAUGGAAGAGACAAUUUGUAAUAGCAUCAAACAAAAAAUGAAUGAGCCAAUAUGUAAGAUUCUUUUACCCGUUUUUUCAUUGGUGCAAGCAUGAAUCAUCAACGUUGUGGGUUUGAAGGCUGGUAUCCUCAAUGUUGUGGAUAGCACUACCCUGGAAAUAUGAUCACACACACACAUACACACAACCAUGUUCAUCCUCACCAAUGAGGUAGUACAAAAUACCUCAGUUUUUUUUAAAAGGGGUUUAGAUUUUACCUUUAUCAUUAUCUUUAAUUCUCCUUCUACAUAAUGCUUCUUUUUCAACUUAGGUUUUAAUCUAACUGUACAAGAGCAUGACCUUCUAGUAAUAGUAAUGGAGUUUAGGGCGAUUGUAAUUUACAAAAAUAAAUGAGGAUGAGAAUGCUUGGAGUUGGUUGUAUCAUUUUUAUAGGGGUGUGCUAUCCACACACCCCAUUUUACUUCUCACACACCCCAUUUUACUUCUCACACACCUCUUGAUAAUUUAUGUCCGUUGAUCUUCUUCAAUUCAUCUGAUCCGACGGCCGAAAAUUAAAAAGAUGUGUGAGAAUUAAAAUGGAGUAUGUGAAUAUCACACCCCUUUUUAUAUUAUUGUAGCUUUUGGGUCAUGCAAUGGAUACUGCAUAUUAAAAUACCUAUGUUCGUUUACUUCCAUAUUUUUCUUUGUAAUUUUGUUUAUUUUUCAUAGCUAACUCUUCAAUCUAUUUGUGCAUAAAUUCCUAUUUCAAGCCCAAAAUGGAAGAAAUUAUGCCUCAUGUGAUAUAUUGGACGAACAGUGGUAAGGGAAUGGAACUAGAAAAGCAACAGUACAACAAAAAAAAGUAAGAUCGAAUUUGAAAAUGUGAGUAAAUUACAGUAACAAAUAGUACAAGUUGCUAAUUUCCAAACACUAAACCGAAGAUUCAAUACAAACACAGAGCAGGUGAAGCUUUCUCUUCGAGUGAGAGUCUUUCUCUCCUAUUGAGUCAUUCUCACCCUUUAGUGUGAGGCUUACAUACUAAAGAAAAUCAGGUGGUGCCGAUCCUAGUUUCGGCUGGGGUCGGUCGCUGUUUCCCCCUUUCUUUCUGUCUCUUCUCUGUUUUGUACUUCUACUCCUUAUUCCCCCUGUUUUUUCUCCUAAUCUAUUAUGUUCUUCUUACACAGCUGGUAUCCCUCCUGUUUGUUCAUCCAUAUUCCGAUUUUCAGCCAUGGAUACUCUUGAGAUCGUGUGCAGAGCUCCAGUGUUUGUAGCGGCUCGGGUGUUUCUAACACCACCACCUUUUCCUUGUUAUCUGCCUUUACCAGCAGUGUUGUUCGUGGGUUGCCAUGGACUUCAUCCUGAUAGUUGACUUCUUCAUAUCAAUUGCUGGCUAUCCUUUCUUUGUGGUUGUGCUCGGGAAGCUAAUCGGGGUGGGAUGCUGAAAAUGAUCUGACGAGGAACUGGACGGAUCGUGAACGGCGGUGAAUGCUAUAGAACUUUCUGGAGUCUGUAACCCCUCUUUUUGUGCAUUUUGGGCUUCAACUACUAGUUGGCCCUUUGUCUUUCUUGGCCCGUGUUUUGCUUGUUUAUGUGUUAUGUUUGGGCCUUGGGUUUGUAUUUGUGUUUGUUUUAAGUUGUAAUAAAAGUUUGCUUUUAUUAAAAAAAAAGGGGGGGGGGGAUUUAGAAGCCCAAAUGACUCGAUGCAAGUGCAACAAUGAAUGGCCCAAAUCCAAAUGGGGAAAAACUUAUAAAUUGUUUUUCUUUUACACAUGUUUGCUCUGGCUUUCUUCCUAGCCUUGUGGUUGAAUGCUCCAGCAUGGACACCCAUGGUUAUGGCUCCGAAAGCUGGUACUGGAGAUUUGAGGUGAGGAGAUCAUGAUAUUGUUAUAAAAAAUGGUUCCUGAAACUAAAUUGAAUAAGGUAUUCUAAAAUACCUGUUCUUUUCUGCAUUUUUUAAUAUUGAAAACGAUGCUUUCAUACACUUUAUACCUAAACAUUUACUCUUCGUUCUUUUUUACCUGCUCUAUCUGACAUCUGUUGUUCUUCAACCCCAAACAACCAUCAUUUGCCGCCUCCUUCCUCUACCUAUUUACUCUUCGUUCUUUUUUACCUGCUCUAUCUGACAUUCGUUGUUCUUCAACCCCAAACAACCAUCAUUUGCCGCCUCCUUCCUCUACCUAACUACCUCACAAUCCAUCUCCACCACAACCAUUUCUUGGAUCCAUAAGUUUCGAUCCAAAGGGAAACACCUGUUUCAAUAAUCACUUUCACUACUCCUCGCCCGACGGCUACUUUGCAUACCUUCAUAGUACUGGUUUGGUACUAAGGUGCUUUUAUAAAAAGUGGGUAUCAAAAAUAACUUAUUUUCAUAGUUUUAGGUGAAAAAAAAAAUCUGAAAACAUGGCAAAAAUGAGUUUAUUUUCACAGCACAGCAGAAACAGUUUUUUUUUUAAAAUCACAACAAUACCAAACCAGCCUUUCCUCAAUGUAUGAAAUUGGUUGUGGUUGUAACUCUCCUUUGCAAUUGAAGUUCUCGACCAAUUGGCACUUGUCUUCUCCAUCAUGGCUACCUUGGUGGUUGAUGGUAAGACGUUCGUGGCUGCAGUGCACAACCUUUGAAAGAUAAAGAUAAGGUUUCUAUUAUGUUUAUUUGUUUUGGUUAUUGAGGGAAUAACCAAAUACAAACAAGUUAGAUUAUGUUAAUUUGUAAUUUACACCAAUUAAAAACUCCUACUUACAUGGAAUUGCAAUUGAGGGAAUUGUUUUAUUUAUUUAUUUUGAACAUACGAUAUUAUCUACACUAAGAGGAGGGGGUGGGCUAAGCCUCAUAAUGAGUUAACAGUAAUGUUGUUCAAACUCAUCUUUGACAAGAAUCGAACCUAAGACCUCUCACUUAAAUGAUAUAUAAUGAAUAACCAUAAUUUGCCUGGGCGCUACGUCUCAGACCACUACACAACUAGCGCUUAGCGUUUUUUAGAAUCUUAAUCAAACCACUUUCAAUAAAAUUGUAGAAAAAAAAUGUUGAACCAACGAAAUUGAAAAUAAAACACCUAUAUCGAAACAUUCUUCUUUUUAUUUAUAAGACGCUUUAUCAAAACACCCUUAAUUUGAAGCCAGUCCUCUCUAAAUACAGUUAGCAGUUAGCAAGUACUUGUCUUUUUAGUUUCUUGAGAACCACCUAAUCGAAGAGAAUAUUUUAUAGCCUAGAUGACUUCAACCAAGAAAUAAAUGAGCCAUAAUCCACCUCUUUUCACUCAAAUAUAUAUUUAUUUUACCCCUGUUUCACAUUGGCCUUCUUCCUACCAUUGUGGUGAAGUGUGGAAGCAUGAAUUCUCAUUGUUGUGGGUUCGAAGGCUGGUAUCCUCAAUGGAAAUAUGAUCAUACACAAACACAAAUCCUUGCUCUUCCUAUCCAAUGAGGUAUUACAAAAUACCUCUGUUUUUUAGGGGCUUUGGAUUUUACCUUUUUACCUUUAAUUUCUCCUUGUACAUAAUGCUUCUUUUUCAACUUGAGUUUUAGUCCUAUCUCAAAAAAAAAAAUUAAAAAAAAGAAUAAAAUAAAGACCUGAGUUUUAAUUUAACUGUACAAGAGCAUGAGCUCUAGUAAUAGUAAAGGAUUUUAGGGCGAUUGUAAUUUACCGAAAUAGAUGAGGAGGCGAAUGCGUGUCAACUGGUUGGCCUCGAUGAGCUCUAUAUAUCUGUGUCAAUUUAUAUAUUACGGCAAGUUUCAGAUCAUGUAAUGUAUAUUUCAUACUAAAAUAUCUCGGUUUGUUAUGUAUAUAGUAUACUCAUUUUUUCACUUUCUUUUACUUCCAUAGUUUUCUUUGUAGUUUCAUUCAUCUUUUACAAAAUAACUCUUCUAUCUAUUUGUGCAUAUAUUCCCAUUUGAAGCCCAAAUUGGAAGAAUUUAUGCCUCAAUCGACAUAUUAGACUAACAAACAAAUAGUGCAAGUUGCCAAUUUCCAAACACAAAAUCGGAGAUUUUGAAGCCCAGAUGACUGAAACACAAGAUGCAAGUGUAACGAUGGCCAAUGGGUGGCCCAAAUCCAAAUGGUGGAAAGUGUAUAAAUCGUUUUCUUUUAAACCCUAUUUUCACAGGUUAAAUGCUCCAACAUGAACACCCACGGUUAUGGGUUCGAAAGGUGGUACUGGAGGCUCGAUGUUGAGGAGACGAGGAUAAUACUAUUUAUACGCCCAUUCUCUCAGUAUGAAAUUGUUAUCACAAAGGGUCUCUGAAAUUAUCUGAAAUUAAACAAAAUGAGGUAUUCUGAAAUAAUGCUUUCAAACUUUAAUUCUUCCUCCUAUUUAAUCAUUUCUUUCAACUGUUUGAAUUUUAAUUAUAUAUGUUUAUAUUUAAGAGGUGGUUUUGGCCUGACUACUUCAUAAGGCAUUUGGAUGACCAUUUGCAGAAAAUUACUGGAUCCACUUAUUCCUUUUUUAUUAUUCUGGUUUUGCCUUGCAUUUACGUAUCCAGUGAAGAAUUUCAUAUUUGUUUGCCUUUGAAUAAUAUAUAAAACAAAGUAAAUAGGAGGCAAAUGAGUACAUAUUCUGGUUGGUCUAGUUGUUGGUAUAUGUUUUUCUCAUCUCCUUGCUUCUAAACUGGUGGAUGUUUUUUAAAUCCAGUACUCUCAUUUGAGGGUACCCACAAAUUCAAUGACCCAAUAGUUUUUUCUUGCAUUUUUUUCAGGUAAAAGAACAUUGCAAUGAGGAUCCGCAGAGGAUUCUAUUACCAAACAUGUUAAAAUUUAACCUAGGAACUAUUACAUUGGAAAAAUUAUUCAACAAUGUACAAGAUUGACAUAACUAUGUACAAAUUUAGCCUCUUGAAAAAUUAUUCAACGAUGUACAAGAUUGACACAACGAUGUACAAAUUUAACCUCUUGAAAACAUAAUUUAUUAUAUAGUUAGGAAUUUGAUGCACUAGAUCUCAGUCAGAAUUAGCGGUGGUGGCGGGCGGUACGGCGUCGGAGGAAGGGCGUGAGAAGAAAUAAGAUGGAGGAAAAAAAGAAGAAAUAAGAGGGAGCUAAGGAGGCUGCUAGGGAGAAAGAAGAGGGAGUUCAAACUUGACAGUGAUGUGGGAGUUCAUCUCGAGCAAACUUAUUCCUAGUCUCAUGGUUAAUUGCACCAGCUUUAACAACCAUGGUGCUGGGUUCGAAGCUGGUAUUGAAGAUGACGACGACGACGACGACGAUGAUGUUAGUUUAAACUCACAAUCAAUGAAGUUGUAAGUAUCAGCACCGUUUAAGAGUGGUGGUGAGCAAAAUUAUUUCAUGUUGUAAUUGAAAUUCACUUAAGAAAAUACUUGAAAUUAAAUGAAGAAUACUUUGGUAAAUAAAACUGAUGAAUGUUUUUGUAUUUCCUAUACUCUCAUUUUAAUGUACCCCCAAAUUCAAUGACCCAAUAGGUCUCCCAACAAUUACAUUUUCAUUGUUGUUUCUCAAGUUUUUUCUUGCAUAUUUGUGCUUCUAGUUUCAAUCAAUGUAUUCAUUCUAUUUCAGUUAAUCAAAUAAGUUAAAAUUUUCUAUCUAUUUUUGUACUCAUCUUUUUAUUUGAGGAAGUAGACUAGUAAUGCAAAAUUAACCUUUGAAUAUGACCUAAAAAACCCUCACAUAGAAAUAAACGUUGGCCCAAAUCCAAAUAGUUGCACCCUUAUAAAACUUUAGUUUGCAUGCUUUAGUACCGGCCUUCUUCUUGGUGGAUAAGUGUGGAUGCGAAAGCAUUGUUCCACGAGGUUUCAGGUUCGAAGGCUGGUAUCCGUUAGGAUGGCGACUUUGAUGAAUCAUGCAUGUAUGUGUAUGUGUAUGUGUUGUGUGUGUAUAUAUAUAUGUAUGUAUGUUUCAACGAUAUGAGGUAUUUCAAAAUACCUCUGUUUUUUAUAUUUUUAUACAUAUUUAUUUUUCCCGUCUGUUUUAUGGACAUAAUUCCAUAUCUAUAAAACCUAGCUUCUUAAGUCCAAAACUUGACCUCUAGUUAUACGGCUUUGACUUAUCACUUAUGUAAACUUUUUUAUUCUCCUUAAAUUUUUUGUUCAUUGCCACCGUACCACGCAGCUUCUUAAUCCAAUCAUACAUUGUCAUCUUGAGAAAAAUUUGUACAAAAUAAUACAUUAUUGAACAAGAAAUGCGAUAUGAUAGUAAACUCGUUAAGGGUUGGAUAAUAUCUUUUAGAGAGAACCCAAAUCCAAAUAGUCGAAGGCCAUUCAUAGAAAAUGUUUUUGCAACCGGCCUUCCUCCUAACCUUAAUGCAAAGUGCACAAGCAUGAUCCCUGUAGGGUCUUCAUGGCCCCUCAGAGGAAACAUAUUAAUCAACAAUAUGAGGUAUUGCGAAAUACCUUUGUUUUUUUAUGUGCCUACUAUUUUCUCUCCUCUAUAUAUUUAAUUAACUCUAUAAAUGUUUAUAUAUUUGUUCAUUAUUAGAGAUUUUUUAAUUUUUUAUCAAAGAUUUUUAGAUUUAAAUGUCUAUAAAAAUAAUCUAUAUAAAUUUUAUUUAAAAAAAAAAUAUUUAGCCUAAUGUUUUUCUCUUACCUAGAAUUUUAACCCAGGAUCAUUGGUGAAGAAAAACUAUUUUCUGAGUUAAAACCUAAAUUUUAUGUGAUAACCCAAAGAGUGGAGAUAAUAUUAUUACCCAAAGUUUUAGUACUACUAGAGAUAGAGAAGAUAUAUUGAAGACAAAGAUAUAUACAUGGUAGAAGAAGGAAGCUUGGAGGGAUGUUGAGGAAAUGUAAUGGAAUUAUAUACAAAUUAAAAACUGCAAACCAAAGUCUGGAAACAAUUCUAAAUUGUUUUCACUUUUAACUUUUUAUUUCAUAUAUUCUCUUUUAGUUCUUCCUUCCUUCCCAUCACCAUUCUUGCUUCACUCUUCUUCGCGAAUCGAUAGAUAGAUCCAAGUAGAAGACACAAGGACCUAUGUAUGUUUUAUUGAGAAAUAAAAUUAGAGUGAAAAAUAUUGAGUACAAAAAACAUUAUCUCAUUUCAAAUAAUUUAAAAAGCAGAACAAAAGCGUAUGAGUUUUUUGUUUUUUUUUUUGUUUUUAUCACAUAUAGAUAUGCAUAGGGAAACUUAAUCACCAAAUGUAGCUACAAAUGUCAAAUUAAAAAUGAUAUACAAAUAGAACAAAAAUUGGCUGGGCCCAAACUCCACUUGUGAGGACUUAAGUUCAUUUUUGGGCAUGCAUUUACACCGGCCUUCUUCUUAGCCUAGUGGUUAAUUGUGCUAGCAUGAUUCCUCAAGGUUCUGGCUUCGAAGGCUGGUAUUUGUGAUGGUGAUGAUGAUGAAUCGAUGAAUGGAUGAGAGGUUGGUAUUUAAGAUAAUUUCUGGCAGCACGAUAUAUGAUGAACGGAGAGGAUCCUCAUUUCCUUAACCAAAUGAGGUAUUCUAAAAUACCUUUGUUUUUCUAUAUUUUCCACAUGGAAAUCUAUAUUUUCCACAUGGAAAAUGAUACGAAGACAUUGUGAAUUCCAUUUACAAAAGCAAAUUUUUAUUUGGACCCAGUUUUUUUCUUUUUCAACCCAACUUUAAUAUUUUGUUACCUAGAAUCUCUAGUAUACCCUCAUAAAUAAUAAACAUAAAUAAAUUGGAAAACAAAAACUCAUCAAACCUAUUUCCCGACUAUUCUCUCUCCUUCUGGCAAGCUCCUCCCUGUAUUUGUUGGGUCUUUCUCCCCAUAAAUAAAUUGGAAAAACAAAAACUCAUCAAACCUAUUUCCCGACUAUUCUCUCUCCUUCUGGCAAGCUCCUCCCUGUAUUUGUUGGGUCUUUCUCCCUCCCGACUAUUUAUUGUUUCCUGAUAUGCAAGAGAAGAGAGAAGGUCUGGAGUGGUGGUUGAGUGGUGGAGCUGCAUGCUAUCUUGGUUGAAUGGGUGUAGAAAGAUAUUUAAUUUUCAUUUCCUUAUUUCAUUUUGUAUAAGGGGUAAAAUAGGAAUUACAGAGAUUUAUUUUUGUAGCUAGGUGUAGAAAGAGCUUUGUUGGAUCUCAAUAUAAUUUACCUUUACAAAAGUAUCUCAUAUUUCUGGUUUCUUUUUAUUUUAAAAUUUGUCAUUAUUAAGGGGAGGGUAAACUUCGAAUACGGAAUGCAUGAGUAGAAACAAAUAUAUGUCAUGUUACAAAUGGUCAAAUUAAAAAAAUGACUAAACAAUACUGUAAUUGGUUGGGCCCAAAUACAAAGUUUAAAUUUGUGCAUGAAGUUUCCACUGGUCUUAUUCCUGGCCUUGUGUACAAGUGCUGAAGCUUGCUUCCAUUAGGUCUCAGGUUCGACGGCUGGUAUCCGUUGAGAUGGCGAGUUUGAUGAUGGUCAAGCAUGUGUAUAUGUAUGUGUGUGGUGGCAGAGAGUUGAGUUCGCUUUUGAGAUAAUUUCCUUAGCAUUUCUCAUAUAUCUCUAUACAUAAAAACAAAAUGAGGUAUUUCAAAAUACCUCUGUUUUUUUAUGAGUAAUGUUAGAGAGAUUUUUUUUUUGUUAAAAGAUAAAUUUUGUUAGAUUAUAUAGUACGGAGAUUAAACUUAUAGAUAAAAUUUUGUAAAUUAAAUAACGUGAAAGUUGAUGAUUGGAUUGUUACUCAAAUGUUAAUUAACGUGCUUAUUUCUUAUUGCUGAUAUAUUAUUUAGUUUAGAAAUUUAAUCUAGCAUACUCUUUUUUUUUAUAUAUAUAUAGUUUUCUCCCCUCUGUUUUAUUUUAUUUCGUUCCAUUUAUUAGGUUAACACCAAUUAUACUAUUUUGCAUUCUAUACUUUAUUUCUUAUGCAAUUGUAUAAUUUAUUUCGUCAAAAUAUAGUUCAAUUUAAUAUUCAUUUUUUAAUAAACUUUAAAAAUAUGCCUUACAAUACAACAAAUUUAAAUGUAUUAAUAAAAUGUGUAAAAAUAACGUAUAUUAUAUGUACAAAGUAUGUAUAUACAUGUAAUUUAACAAAUUAUUAAGAUGUAUACAAAAAAACAUAAUUAGGUGCCUUUUUUUUUUAUGAAAAACUUUCUUGUGUUAAAUGUUUGAGUAAUGUUAGGGAGACAAAAUUUGUAAACUAAAUGACAUAGAAGUUAAUGAUUGAAUUAUUACUUAAGCAUUAAUGAACGUGCUCAUUUCUUAUUGGUGAGACAUCAUUUAGUUUGUAAGUUUUGUCUACAAAUUUAGCCUUCCUAGCAUUACUCUAAAUGUUUAUUUACCCUAAUACGCAACUACGAUUAUGGACAAAAUACAUUCAACAUAAAAUAAUGUAUCUUCUUCUUCUUCAUCUUCCUUAGCAAAUAUUGGGGUUUGGUUAACAGCCUCAAUACACCUUAUGUUCAUAUAUAUAUAUAUAUAUCUCUCUCUCUCUCUCUCUCUCUCUCUCUCUCUCUCUCUCUCUCUUCUCAUAGCGUAAUUUGGUAUUUUAGGGUUUGGUUUGCAUGAAUUUGUAAUUUGAAAUUGUAAUUAAUUAGGGUUUGAUUUUAUGCUUCAUUCUUCAUCUUCUGGAUUUAGGAAAUUCCAUCCAAUUUCCAGUUUGUUGCAUUCAAUUUAUUAGUGUCAAUGGGUAACUCCCCGAGGGCACAAAGGCAGAGAAGAAAAGAAAUACAAGUACAUGGAUUGGAGUGUUGUCUUACAUAAUACCCAAUAGUAGGGGAGAGACUUGUUCCAUGUUAAUCAAACAUUCAAUACUUCUAAUACAAUUUCUAUGGGACUGUGGUGAUGAAAUUUGGUUGUGGUGUACUCCCAGUGCACGGUUGAUGUCUUUGUGUUGCGAUGUCUUCUUUGAGUUAAACACUCGGUUGUUUCUUCCAUCGCAGCUACCUUGAUCGUUGAUGGCAAGACUUUCGUGACGGCGGGGGCAAUGCUCAGCCUUGGAAGAUAGAAAUUAGAGUUUCUAUUAUGUUUGUUUUGGUUAUUGGGUUGGGUUUAUUGUGUACUUUGGAUUUUUCCAAUUUUUUGAGUUGUUUGUCAUCCUUUGUGUUGGCCCGGUGAUAUGUGUUGGUUUGUCCAAUUACAACCCUUGUUUUUUCUUAAUGCAAUGAAAUUUACUUAUUGGAUAAAAAAAAGAGUAUGAGCUCUCUAGUAAUAGUAAUGGAUAGGAUGAUUGUAAUUACCAAAAUAGAUGAGGAGAAGGCGUGGCAGUUGGUUGUGCUCGACGAAUUCCUUAUUUUCGUGUCAAUUUUUAGAAUAGGGUUUGGGUUUUGAGUUCAUAUAACGUGUCAUGUGCAAAAUUCUAACUUCUUCCUGCGUACCAGAAUACCUCAGUUUGUUGCAUGACUAGAAUUCAUUUCACAAAUUUCCUCUAAUUAAAGUGAUGGAAAAGAUCAAAUUUCUCUAAUGGUCCUUCAAUCCAUGGGCUCUAGUCUCAUUCAUCCUUCAUAUUAGUCCAAUCGUUACUUAAGUUAAUUUCUCUAUCUAUUUGAGCAUAUAUUCUCAUUUGGAGCCUAAAUUCGAAGAAUUUAUGCCUCAUUUGACAUAUUGAACUAAUGAUGUAAAUGAAAUAAAAAAGAAAACGUUUGUAUUUUAUCUUCUUUAUCUUUUUUAUGAACUUGGUCAAUUUAUGGAUAAAAUAUGCUAAAAGUAAAUCCAUUGUUAUGUUUUCAACCAAACUGAAGAUUGUUGAAUCAUUGUAAAGAUUAUUCACUUUUACUUUUUGGUUGUAAAAUUUAGCUAACUUUAUUAUAUUAAUCAUUCCUCAUGAUCAGUAGGUGUGUAUAUAAAUUCAUAUUUAUAUUUCACAAUUUUCCAAUGUCUGUUUUAAGGAGCGUACAAUAUGAGUGUUUAAAAAUAUAAUUACAAAAACGUAUCUCACUCCAUGUAAGUUAAUACACAAACCAAAAGCUUAUAAGUUCUAUUAACAUAGGAGUUAUCUCAUUACACAUUGAUGACACAUUAAUCCUCAUCUUCAUGUAGCCUCGGUACACCAUGAGACAUCAACAUAUUUUUUGCCUUUGGGUCAACAAUAUACCAAACAAAGUUAGUGGCUCCAAAAAUACAUUUGUGAGAGUUCAAACUCGAGCAAGCCUCGUGGUUAAAUGUACCAGCAUCAACAACCAUGGUACUUGGUUCAAUGCAAAAUUAACCUUUAAACACGACCUAUGAAAACCCUCGCUCAAUAUUUUCGUACUACAAGAGGACAUUGGCCCAAAUCCAAAUGGUUGCAGUUAUGUAAACUUAGUUUGUGGGGAUUUGUACCGGCCUUCUUCCUAGCCUGGUGGAUAAUUGUGGAUUGUGGGAGCAUUAUUCCAUAGGGGUGGGUUCGGUUUAAUUCGGUUCGGUUUUUUGCCAAAACCGAAACCAAACCGAAAUUUCGGUUCGGUUCGGUUCGGUUCAUUUUUUUUUCGGUUUUUUUCGGUUCGGUUUUUUUUCGGUUCGGUUUUUUUCGGUUCGGUUUCGGUUUUUUGUUUUUUUUUUCUUUCAAAAAAUGAAAAACAUUGAAAUUUUAAAUUUUAACGUAUCCAACACAAUUAUAACACAAGCAUUCUAACUAUAAUCAAAGACAAUGAAAAUAAACAUUUAAAGUUGAACUAAAAUCAUCAAUCAAGUCUUCCAAAGUCCAAACUAACAACAUCACAACACAAAAAUCGUACAAAUGACUUAGAAAAGUUAAAUUGUAUGAUGUUGUUCAAAGAUCAGGGUUGUUUGCUUGUAACUGCAUGUUGACAACUUGAUUAGUAAAAGAAAUGCGUGGGUGGAUUUAUUUAGUGUGUGUUGGAUUCUUUUCCAUCACAAAUUCCCUAAGUAAUCUACCCGAAAUAAAUGUUUAUAGAUUCUGUUACAUGUUAUAUGAGAGUAGAUUUGGAAAAGAAAGCUGAGACAAAAGUAGACAGUGCUAUGGAGAUGGAUGUAGGUACUUCAGGAUGAGGUUUGGCUCCGGAACCUUAUAUGGGGGAUAAAUAAUAGGUUAGGGUUUAAAGUUUUUAUAGGACUUUUUUUUAAUAUUUUGAGCUUAAAGUUUGGCAACACAUUGGGUUUAGCAUAUUUUAACUUACAAAUUGGGUUUAGAAAAUAAUAUCCAAAACAAAUAAUUAAAUAAAAAAAUUAAUUUAAUUAAUUCGGUUCGGUUCGGUUUGGUUCGGUUUCUAGAUAACUAAAACCGAACCGAACCAAAAGAAUUCGGUUCGGUUCGGUUUUUUCAAUUCGGUCGGUUUUUUUGUUCGGUUCGGUUUUUUCGGUUUCGGUUCGGUUUGGUUUUCGGUUUUUUUCGGUUUUCGGUUUUUUGAACCCACCCCUAUUAUUCCAUUAGGUUCCAGGUUCGAAGGCUGGUAUCCGUUGAGAUGGUGACUUUGAUGAAUCAUGAUUGCAUGUGUUGUACGUUUGUGCGUGCGUACGUAUUUAUAUGUAUAUAUUUCAACAACAUGAGGUACUUCAAAAUACCUCUGUUUUUUUUAUAAUAUUUUUUUCCCUUCUGUUUUAUUUUAUUUUAUUUACUAGGUUAACACCAAUCUAACCAAAUCACAUUUUAAUAAAACAAUAUAGAAAAGCUUGGGUAUAUGCAUCCUAUUGUUAUUUGCAUUUUAUUUACUAGGCUAUCAUUAUCUUCAUUACCUCGGUUUGGGAACGGAAGUACAAGAGAAUUAGGGCUGGUUUUGUAUUGAUGUACUUUGAAAAAAAAACUGCUUCUGCUGUGCUUUGAGAAUAAACAGCUGUGAAUAAAGUAGCAGAGUGUUUGGUAAACUUUUUUGUAAAAGUGCUUUUGGAAAAAAAAAAAAAAACAGUAUGAUAGUGGAUGUGGUAGUCUAGUGGGUUUCUGUGUUUCCAUUUCUAUUGUAGAUCGGCAAAGCCGUUUCUGGUGGGUUUCUGGGUUUUGUGGAGAUAGACAAAGGAGCACUGUUUUCUGGUUUGAGGGUGUUAUUGGACUUUUGAAAGUUUCAUUAAAGGAGCACUGUAGCUCCGCGUGUUUUGAAAAAAAAGUCAGUUUUUCAGCAGCAUUUUAGCUGCUUUAGUUUUUUUUAUGAUUUCAGCUUAUUCUCACAGCAGCUUCUAAAAUAAACCCUUUUAUUUGAGUUUACCAAACACCUUCAACAUAAAAACUUUGAAAAUAAGCAGCUUUUUUUUAAGCACCUCAAUGCCAAACCAUACCUUAGUGUUGAAUUUUUAUUAAUUAGCAAUUCUUUCAUCUAAACACAGUGUUAAUUAUUUCUUUUCAAUUAUUUGAGCUUUAGUCUAACUAUAAGAAAAGCAUGAGGUUUAGUCAUACUAAUAGGUGAUGAUGGUUGGUAAUGGGUUGUGUUCCAUAAACCCAUUCAUUUACGUGUCGAGACUUGUACUAGUGCAAAUUUCGGAUCAUGUCAUAAAUUAUCACCCUGAUCACCAUACACUAAAACCAAUUUGAAUGAUUUGGUCAAUUUUCUGUCUACUCCCAAUUAAUACAUUUUAUGCGAUGCAACUUCUUGAAAAGUAUUGUAGAUAUAACUAAAAGCUAACUCAUUUUAGGCCUUUUACUAAAUCGUAAAACCUCAUUGCCUCCAAAAGAUGCACAAUCGUUUUACAAAGUCUGCCAAGCCUUAAAAAUUAGGUUCAACAGGUUUGCGUUACAAUACUACCCAUAAAUUGCUCAAGCUAGCAAUUAUUCAUACUAAAAACGAAGGAAAAAAGAAGAAGAAAUGUGAUUGAUCAUGAGCAGGAGUAAUCCAACUUCUAAUCUAUCCAUUGUUUGUUUAGGGUAUUGAGAGACAAUAAGGACACGAUUCCAUCUCUUUAAAGCCUAAUUUCUUUCGUCUGAGAACUUCAACCUCUAGUACUAUAGCUUGGACCUAUCGCUUAUGUAAACUUGCCUUGUCGCUUUUUAUUUUCCUUAUAUUUUUUGUUCAUCACCAUGUGGCUUUUUGACCCAAUCAUACAUUGUCAUGUAGAAACAAAUUUGUACACGGCAAUGCAUUAUUGGACAAGAACCGCGACGCGGCAGCGAACCCAUUUCAAAUACGUUAUUCUCCCUAAUGGUUGGACAAUAUUUUUCAGAGAAAACAUUGGUUGGGGUCAAAUCCAAAUAGUAGCAAGCUUCAAAUAAAUUGUUUUUGCAAAUCAACCACCGGCCUUCCUCCUAACCUAAUGGAAAGUGCAAAAUCAUGAUCCUCGUAGGGUCUGGGUUCAAGGGUUGGUAUCCUGUGAAUUCGAUGCUCUUCAUCAUGCCUGUUCAAAAAAAAAAAAAAAAAAAAAAAAA
RNAcentral lists this long non-coding RNA (26086 nucleotides) under Malus domestica (apple). RNAcentral's name for it is "long non-coding RNA (MDOM_LNC017643)". Lineage: Eukaryota; Viridiplantae; Streptophyta; Magnoliopsida; Rosales; Rosaceae. The record is from RNAcentral.